This 484-nucleotide ribosomal RNA is filed under the name uncultured bacterium. Its description in RNAcentral is "partial 16S ribosomal RNA". It matches the Rfam family "Bacterial small subunit ribosomal RNA", at positions 899 to 1397 of the family's 1533-position model. The record is from RNAcentral.
ACUCAAAUGAAUUGACGGGGACCCGCACAAGUGGUGGAGCGUGUUCUUUAAUUCGAUGAUAAGCGAAGAACCUUACCAGGGCUUGACAUCCCGAGAAAUUCUGCGAAAGCAGAGUGUGCCUUUUGGAACUCGGUGACAGGUGCUGCAUGGCCGUCGUCAGCUCGUGUCGUGAGAUGUUUGGUUAAGUCCAUCAACGAGCGCAACCCUUAUGAAUAGUUGGAUUUUUCUAUUCAGACCGCCUCGGUAACGGGGAGGAAGGAGGGGAUGAUGUCAGGUCAUUAUUGCCCUUACGUCCUGGGCUAGAAACGCGCUACAAUGGCCGGUACAAAGGGCAGCCAACCCGCGAGGGGGAGCAAAUCCCAUCAAAACCGGUCCCAGUUCGGAUUGCAGGCUGAAACUCGCCUGCAUGAAGCCGGAAUCACUAGUAAUCGUAGGUCAGCACACUACGGUGAAUACGUUCCCGGGUCUUGUACACACCGCCCGU